UACGUAGGGUGCGAGCGUUAAUCGGAAUUACUGGGCGUAAAGCGUGCGCAGGCGGUUUUGUAAGUCAGAUGUGAAAUCCCCGGGCUUAACCUGGGAACUGCGUCUGAUACUGGAUGGCUUGAGUUCGGGAGAGGGAAGUGGAAUUCCAGGUGUAGCGGUGAAAUGCGUAGAUAUCUGGAGGAACACCGGUGGCGAAGGCGGCUUCCUGGACCGACACUGACGCUGAGGCGCGAAAGCCAGGGGAGCAAACGGG
This 253-nucleotide ribosomal RNA is filed under the name uncultured bacterium. Its description in RNAcentral is "partial 16S ribosomal RNA". It matches the Rfam family "Bacterial small subunit ribosomal RNA", at positions 524 to 776 of the family's 1533-position model. The record is from RNAcentral.